UACGUAGGGUGCAGGCGUUACUCGGAAUUACUGGGCGUAAAGCGUGCGCAGGCGGUCUCUUAAGACAGGUGUGAAAUCCCCGGGCUUAACCUGGGAACUGCGCUUGUAACUGAGAGGCUAGAGUGUGGCAGAGGGGGGUGGAAUUCCACGUGUAGCAGUGAAAUGCGUAGAGAUGUGGAGGAACACCGAUGGCGAAGGCAGCCCCCUGGGCUAACACUGACGCUCAUGCACGAAAGCGUGGGGAGCAAACAGG
This 253-nucleotide ribosomal RNA is filed under the name uncultured bacterium. RNAcentral describes it as "partial 16S ribosomal RNA". It matches the Rfam family "Bacterial small subunit ribosomal RNA", at positions 524 to 776 of the family's 1533-position model. The record is from RNAcentral.